CCUACGGGACGCAGCAGUGGGGAAUAUUGCACAAUGGGCGCAAGCCUGAUGCAGCCAUGCCGCGUGUAUGAAGAAGGCCUUCGGGUUGUAAAGUACUUUCAGCGGGGAGGAAGGCGAUAAGGUUAAUAACCUUGUCGAUUGACGUUACCCGCAGAAGAAGCACCGGCUAACUCCGUGCCAGCAGCCGCGGUAAUACGGAGGGUGCAAGCGUUAAUCGGAAUUACUGGGCGUAAGGCGCACGCAGGCGGUCUGUCAAGUCGGAUGUGAAAUCCCCGGGCUCAACCUGGGAACUGCAUUCGAAACUGGCAGGCUAGAGUCUUGUAGAGGGGGGUAGAAUUCCAGGUGUAGCGGUGAAGUGCGUAGAGAUCUGGAGGAAUACCGGUGGCGAAGGCGGCCCCCUGGACAAAGACUGACGCUCAGGUGCGAAAGCGUGGGGAGCAAACAGGGUUAGAUACCCCAGUAGUC
RNAcentral lists this ribosomal RNA (465 nucleotides) under uncultured bacterium. Its description in RNAcentral is "bacterial SSU rRNA". It matches the Rfam family "Bacterial small subunit ribosomal RNA", at positions 338 to 795 of the family's 1533-position model. The record is from RNAcentral.